CUACGCACUCCUACGGGAGGCAGCAGUGGGGAAUAUUGCACAAUGGGCGCAAGCCUGAUGCAGCCAUGCCGCGUGUAUGAAGAAGGCCUUCGGGUUGUAAAGUACUUUCAGCAGUGAGGAAGGUGGAUAUGUUAAUAGCAUAUUCAUUUGACGUUAGCUGCAGAAGAAGCACCGGCUAACUCCGUGCCAGCAGCCGCGGUAAUACGGAGGGUGCGAGCGUUAAUCGGAAUUACUGGGCGUAAAGCGCAUGCAGGUGGUUUGUUAAGUCAGAUGUGAAAGCCCGGGGCUCAACCUCGGAAUUGCAUUUGAAACUGGCAAACUAGAGUACUGGUAGAGGGGGUAGAAUUUCAGGUGUAGCGGUGAAAUGCGUAGAGAUCUGAAGGAAUACCGGUGGCGAAGGCGGCCCCCUGGACAGAUACUGACACUCAGAUGCGAAAGCGUGGGGAGCAAACAGGAUUAGAUACCCUGGUAG
This 472-nucleotide ribosomal RNA is filed under the name uncultured bacterium. RNAcentral describes it as "bacterial SSU rRNA". It matches the Rfam family "Bacterial small subunit ribosomal RNA", at positions 329 to 793 of the family's 1533-position model. The record is from RNAcentral.